RNAcentral lists this ribosomal RNA (529 nucleotides) under uncultured bacterium. RNAcentral describes it as "bacterial SSU rRNA". It matches the Rfam family "Bacterial small subunit ribosomal RNA", at positions 257 to 803 of the family's 1533-position model. The record is from RNAcentral.
GUAACGGCCCACCAAGGCGACGAUUGGUAGCCGGACUGAGAGGUUGAACGGCCACAUUGGGACUGAGACACGGCCCAGACUCCUACGGGAGGCAGCAGUGGGGGAUAUUGCACAAUGGGGGAAACCCUGAUGCAGCGACGCCGCGUGGAGGAAGAAGGUUUUCGGAUUGUAAACUCCUGUCGUUAGGGACGAUAAUGACGGUACCUAACAAGAAAGCACCGGCUAACUACGUGCCAGCAGCCGCGGUAAAACGUAGGGUGCAAGCGUUGUCCGGAAUUACUGGGUGUAAAGGGAGCGCAGGCGGGAAGACAAGUUGGAAGUGAAAACCAUGGGCUCAACCCAUGAAUUGCUUUCAAAACUGUUUUUCUUGAGUAGUGCAGAGGUAGAUGGAAUUCCCGGUGUAGCGGUGGAAUGCGUAGAUAUCGGGAGGAACACCAGUGGCGAAGGCGGUCUACUGGGCACCAACUGACGCUGAGGCUCGAAAGCAUGGGUAGCAAACAGGAUUAGAUACCCUGGUAGUCCAUGCCGU